Molecule: ribosomal RNA, 253 nt
Filed under: uncultured bacterium
Lineage: Bacteria
Description: partial 16S ribosomal RNA
Rfam family: Bacterial small subunit ribosomal RNA
Source: RNAcentral
UACGAAGGGGGCUAGCGUUGUUCGGAAUUACUGGGCGUAAAGCGCACGUAGGCGGGUUGUUAAGUCAGGGGUGAAAUCCUGGAGCUCAACUCCAGAACUGCCCUUGAUACUGGCAACCUAGAGACUGGAAGAGGUUAGUGGAAUUCCCAGUGUAGAGGUGAAAUUCGUAGAUAUUGGGAAGAACACCAGUGGCGAAGGCGGCUAACUGGUCCAGCACUGACGCUGAGGUGCGAAAGCGUGGGGAGCAAACAGG